Molecule: ribosomal RNA, 319 nt
Filed under: uncultured bacterium
Lineage: Bacteria
Description: bacterial SSU rRNA
Rfam family: Bacterial small subunit ribosomal RNA
Source: RNAcentral
UGAGCUGGUAUAAAGGUUUACCGCUAAGGGAUGGGGAUGCGUCUGAUUAGGUGUUGCGGGGUAACGGCCCACCAAGCCAGUCGAUCAGUAGGGGUUCGUGAGAGGAAGGUCCCCCACAUUGGAACUGAGACACGGUCCAAAACUCCUACGGGAGGCAGCAGUGAGGAAUAUUGGUCAAUGGGCGCGAGCCUGAACCAUCCAAGUAGCGUGCAGGAUGACGGCCCUAUGGGUUGUAAACUGCUUUUAUGACGGGGAUAAAGUGAGGGACGUGUCCCUUUUUGUAGGUACCGCAUGAAUAAGGACCGGCUAAUUCCGUGCC